Molecule: RNA transcript, 1957 nt
Organism: Oncorhynchus gorbuscha (pink salmon)
Lineage: Eukaryota; Metazoa; Chordata; Actinopteri; Salmoniformes; Salmonidae
Gene name: pyruvate kinase PKM-like
Exons: 11
Source: RefSeq, a predicted model, not a curated record
GGAGGGAUACCCUAUGUUCGGCUGAGGAAGUAGUCCCGGUCAGUUGGGGGGGUUAUCUUUCGCCAGAGCUCGGCUGGUGGGCGCAUUGGUCCCUGCAACGUUCACCCGGUAGGAUUUCUCAGAUACCGAUCCAGUCAUGUCUAAAGGAAAGGAUAUGGGCUCUGCCUUCAUCCAGACGCAGCAGCUCCACGCUGCCAUGGCCGACACUUUCCUGGAGCACAUGUGUCUUCUGGACAUCGACUCCGAGCCAGCCGUGGCUCGCAACACCGGAAUCAUCUGCACCAUCGGACCCGCCUCCCGAUCAGUGCCCAUGGCCAAGGAGAUGAUCAAAUCUGGGAUGAACAUUGCAAGAAUGAACUUCUCUCACGGAACUCAUGAGUAUCAUGCUGAGACCAUCAAGAAUGUCCGUGAAGCCACCGAGAGCUUCGGUUCCGGCACCAUCGAGUACAGACCAGUGGCCAUCGCUCUGGACACCAAGGGACCCGAAAUCAGGACUGGACUCAUCAAGGGCAGUGGCGAAGCUGAGGUCGAGCUGAAGAAGGGAGGUCACAUCAAGCUGACUCUGGACGACAAGUACAUGAACAACUGUGACGAGAAGCACCUGUGGUUGGACUACAAGAACAUCACCAAGAUCCUGAAGGUCGGAGCUCACGUCUACAUUGACGACGGCCUCAUGUCCCUGAAGGUCAAGGAAGUCGGCGCUGACUUCCUGGACUGUGAGAUUGAAAAUGGUGGUACUCUGGGCUCUAAGAAGGGUGUGAACUUGCCCGGUGCUGCUGUGGACCUGCCCGCUGUCUCUGAGAAGGACAUCCAGGAUCUGCAGUUCGGUGUGGAACAGGGAGUGGACAUGGUCUUCGCCUCCUUUAUCCGUAAGGCAGCUGAUGUACACGCCGUCAGGAAGGUGCUGGGAGAGAAGGGCAAACACAUCAAGAUCAUCUCCAAACUGGAGAACCACGAGGGCGUCCGCAGAUUCGAUGAGAUCCUGGAGGCUAGCGAUGGCAUCAUGGUUGCCCGCGGCGACCUGGGUAUUGAGAUCCCCACAGAGAAGGUUUUCAUCGCCCAGAAGAUGAUGACCGGACGCUGCAACAGGAUCGGCAAGCCCAUCACCUGCGCCACACAGAUGCUGGAGAGCAUGAUCAAGAAGCCCCGCCCUACUCGUGCUGAGGGUUCCGAUGUCGCCAACGCCGUUCUGGACGGUAACGACUGCAUCAUGCUGAGUGGUGAGACCGCCAAGGGAGACUACCCACUAGAGGCUGUCCGCACACAGCACAAGAUUGCUCGUGAGGCAGAGGCCGCCAUGUACCACAGGCAGAUGUUUGAGGAAAUCCGUCGUACCUCCCACCUGACCCGUGACCCCACUGAGUCCGUUGCCAUUGGCGCCGUCGAGGCUUCCUUCAAGUGUUGUGCCAGUGCCAUCAUCGUGCUCACCAAGACUGGCAGGUCCGCCCAUCUGCUGUCCAGGUACAGGCCCCGUGCCCCCAUCAUCGCUGUGACCCGCUGCGGCCAGACCGCCCGUCAGGCCCAUCUGUACCGCGGUAUCUACCCAGUGCUGUACACCAAGCCUGCCAACGAUGUCUGGGCCGAAGGAUGUCGACCUCCGCGUCAACUUCGCCUUGGAGAUGGGCAAACACCGUCACUUCUUCAAGUCUGGAGAUGUCAUCAUUGUCGUGACCGGAUGGCGUCCAGGCCCUGGUUACACCAACACCAUGCGUGUUGUGCUUGUUCCUUGAACAAACUCCAAAGGACAUUACUCCUCCCCCCUUUACCCAUCUCCUGUUCCUAUAACUCCUCCCCCCUUUACCCAUCUCCUGUUCCUAUAACUCCUCCCCCUUUCCCCAGCUCCUGUUCCUAUAACUCCUCCCCCUUUACCCAUCUCCUGUUCCUAUAACCCUCCCCCUUUACCCAUCUCCUGUUCCUAUAACCCCUCCCCCUUUCACCAUCUCCUGUUCCUAUAACU